Long non-coding RNA from Ctenopharyngodon idella (grass carp), 452 nucleotides. RefSeq lists it as uncharacterized. The transcript has 3 exons. NCBI's taxonomy places the organism in Eukaryota, Metazoa, Chordata, Actinopteri, Cypriniformes, Xenocyprididae. The record is from RefSeq and is a predicted model, not a curated record.
CUCGCUUAUCAUCUCUGCUGCUAAAUCUACCUGACAGGCCCCUCACAGAAUGAAGAGGCCAAAAAAAACUCCCAUCUCUCUUUCAGAACAAUGAUGAGCAGAGCAAGGUUUGACUCAUUGAGGAUAAUGUGGCAGAUUCACAUAUAUUUUUUGUGAAUACAUCCCCGAAUUCCCAUUGUGAAUGAAUUCCUGCCAUCAGAACUAAAGGUCAGUAAAGGUGUGUGUGUGUGUGCGUGCGUGUGUGUGUGCGUGUGCGCGUUUUUGUGAUUUAUGAGGACACAAAUUUGUAUAAUGACAUGGGUAUUACACUGGUAUUACAACGUAAACAUGAAAUAUGAGGACAUUUCAUGAGUCCUCAUAUUUAAAAUAGCUUUAAAAACAUACUAAACAAUGUUUUAUUAAAAAUGCAGAAUGUUUUCUGUGAUGGGUAGGUUUAUGGGUAGGGGUAGUGU